UCCUGGUCUGACACUGUGAUUGCCAUGGCGAGGCAUGAUCAUGUGGCAGCCUUAGAUGUCUGAAGAUCACUCCUCUUCCCUUGGGUCCCAGCCACCAAGGAGAACCCCCAGCUGGAAACAGUGCUCCAAAUAUGCUUGGAAACGGUGCUCCAGAUGUGCUCCUGCAAACGCUGAAAAGAAAGGAGGAAUCACUUYCCUCAACCUGCUCAAGGAAAGUCUACACCGUGUCACUGAGAACCCAGUGACUACAGAUGUAUUCACCAUCACAUUGGUUCAGUGUGUGUAGUGUACAUUAGAAGUAAAGACUGUAAAAGUUUUGUCUCCUAACUCCAUAUUUUCAAGUGACUUUCCAAAUACGUUCGAAUUCCCAGCACUGAAUAYGACUGAAAUUUUAAUUUAUGCUAGGAAGUGUUUGGAGGUAUUAUUUGCCAUUCAUUUUUCUUUUCUUGUCAGAGGCAAUAGAACAAUUACAGAGAGGACAUUUCAUAACUGUCUGAUCUGAUUUUGGUUUACAUGCUAAUCCCGGCCUCCUCUUUCAGACAUUAACUUUGGGCUUUCCUGCACUAUCAGACAUCCGCUGGCAUAGCCAAAGAGCUGUGUGUCCUCAGAACACACUGCUACACUCAAGUGUUUUAGUAUUAUUGUAUAUGCUAGGCACAUUGGCAAUGGUGGUUAUGCUGAAUUUCCAUGGGAUUGUGGCAAUACUGAAAUUAUAAGAGCUUGUUAUUUUUUUAAAAAAUAGUUUAAUUUACAGACAAAUAUUAAUAAAAUCAUUAAAUUUGGCAUUUAAGCUCUACUAGCUGUGGAAGUCUCUAGAGCAAUUUCAGUUUCAGGAGCAGCAAGAAAAUUACUUUUAAUAUCUGCGGGGCUAACUAUAGCCCUAUGAUAAAUUAUAAACUAGAUCAUAGGCUUCUAAUAUUUUAAUAUCUGGACAGUGACCCAGAACAACCUCCUUCUGCGUCCAUAAAAGUGAUUCAUUUUCAUGGCUCAUUCAUCCAUAGAAAUAUCUUCAGCUGAGAUGACUGGUAGCGGUGCAUGA
Molecule: long non-coding RNA, 1039 nt
Organism: Nothoprocta perdicaria
Lineage: Eukaryota; Metazoa; Chordata; Aves; Tinamiformes; Tinamidae
Exons: 3
Source: RefSeq, a predicted model, not a curated record